RNAcentral lists this ribosomal RNA (1107 nucleotides) under uncultured Actinomycetes bacterium. Its description in RNAcentral is "bacterial SSU rRNA". It matches the Rfam family "Bacterial small subunit ribosomal RNA", at positions 28 to 1147 of the family's 1533-position model. The record is from RNAcentral. Lineage: Bacteria; Bacillati; Actinomycetota; Actinomycetes.
CACGAACGCUGGCGGCGUGCUUAACACAUGCAAGUCGAGCGGAAAGGCCCUUCGGGGUACUCGAGCGGCGAACGGGUGAGUAACACGUGAGUAACCUGCCCUGGACUUUGGGAUAACCCUCGGAAACGGGGGCUAAUACCGAAUAUCCACGGUCUACCGCAUGGUGGGUUGUGGAAAGUUUUUCGGUCUGGGAUGGGCUCGCGGCCUAUCAGCUUGUUGGUGGGGUGAUGGCCUACCAAGGCGACGACGGGUAGCCGGCCUGAGAGGGCGACCGGCCACACUGGGACUGAGACACGCCCCAGACUCCUACGGGAGGCAGCAGUGGGGAAUAUUGCACAAUGGGCGCAAGCCUGAUGCAGCAACGCCGCGUGAGGGAUGACGGCCUUCGGGUUGUAAACCUCUUUUAGUAAGGAAGAAGGGCCUUCGGGCUUGACGGUACUUGCAGAAAAAGCACCGGCUAACUACGUGCCAGCAGCCGCGGUAAUACGUAGGGUGCGAGCGUUGUCCGGAAUUAUUGGGCGUAAAGAGCUCGUAGGCGGUUUGUCACGUCUGCUGUGAAAUCCCGAGGCUCAACCUCGGGCCUGCAGUGGGUACGGGCAGACUGGAGUGCGGUAGGGGAGAAUGGAAUUCCUGGUGUAGCGGUGAAAUGCGCAGAUAUCAGGAGGAACACCGGUGGCGAAGGCGGGUCUCUGGGCCGAUACUGACGCUGAGGAGCGAAAGCGUGGGGAGCGAACAGGAUUAGAUACCCUGGUAGUCCACGCCGUAAACGUUGGGCGCUAGGUGUGGGAUCCCUUCCACGGGUUCCGUGCCGCAGCUAACGCAUUAAGCGCCCCGCCUGGGGAGUACGGCCGCAAGGCUAAAACUCAAAGGAAUUGACGGGGGCCCGCACAAGCGGCGGAGCAUGUGGAUUAAUUCGAUGCAACGCGAAGAACCUUACCUGGGUUUGACAUACACCGGAAAGCCGUGGAGACAUGGCCUCCGCAAGGCCGGUGUACAGGUGGUGCAUGGCUGUCGUCAGCUCGUGUCGUGAGAUGUUGGGUUAAGUCCCGCAACGAGCGCAACCCUUGUCCCAUGUUGCCAGCGGGUUAUGCCGGGGACUCAUGGGAA